RNAcentral lists this ribosomal RNA (1584 nucleotides) under Triticum aestivum (bread wheat). RNAcentral's name for it is "partial small subunit ribosomal RNA". The record is from RNAcentral. Lineage: Eukaryota; Viridiplantae; Streptophyta; Magnoliopsida; Poales; Poaceae.
ACUCCCCCGCCCCCCGCGGCGCCGGAUCCGGCCGCCCCAGCCGGGUCUGGCCCCUCGGCCUUCGCCCCCAAGGACCUGGUCUGGGGCAAGAAGCUCUCCCACCCGUCCUGGCCGGGGGAGGUCCUCUCCGUCGCCUCCGGCGGCACCCAGCUCCUCGUCUCCUUCUUCGGCGAGAAGGCCCUCGCCUGGUGCGAUGCGGCCCAGCUCAGGCCCUACGAGGCCUACUUCACCGUGGGGGAGCUCUACGACGGCGAGGCCGACGACUUCGACGCCGCCGUCGACGCCUCCCUCGACGAGUUCUCCAGCCGCGUCCAGGCCGCCCUCACCGCCGCCGACCGGCCCUUUGAUCCGCGGGAUUUCCUCGCCUCGCUCCAGGAUUUGGCCGCCGACCGCAUGGGCUUCAGCAACCGGGUGCAGGCCGCCAUCACCAAGGCGCAUCUCAGGGCCUUUGAUGAGUUCAGGGGCCUGCCUGACCCCCCUAUGUACACCUUGGAGCUCGGUAUAGCGAAUGCUGAUGCUUUGGCCGCUCCUUCCCCCAUGGAUCGGGGCAGGAGGAGCGCAAGGGAGGUUAACUGCGACUCGUCGGCGACCCCGCCAUCCCGGAGGAAGAGGAAGGAGGAGGUCCAGGAGGCCGAUUCCGAUGAGGACUGGGACCCGCGCAAGAAGGGUGCCAGUGACUCUGAUACUGAUGUGGACAUUGGGCGUAGGAGGGCCCGGAGGGGCAGGGGUAGCGGUAGCGCCGCACCACGCAGCGGCGGGACUGGGAGGCCACGUGGGAGGCCUAGGAAAACGGAUUCUGAGGUGAAGGAUGAUGAGGUGGAAGAGAAAAUAGAGUAUCCACCGGCCGCCGAAUUGUUGCUUCAGCUUACAUCAGUUGCUUCUGAUCCAUUCAAUUUCAAGGGUUAUGAUUCUGUGGAUGUGAUCUUUAGCUUCUUCGCAAAACACAAGGACUCGAAAGCGCCGAGCGAGUUAGAUGAUAAAGAGCUGUUGGAGAUAUUUGGUGGUAAGAAAGGAAGGAAAAAGUCCGUUGGAAGUUUUACCAAGGCGAAACAUGAGAUUGAGGCAGAACAAUUGGAGUUGGAGACGGCGGAUGGCCAGAGGGGCAGGAGGAAAUCCGCGGGGGGCAUCUACUCGGCUCGAAAGGCGGAAGAUUCUUACUGGUGUGACAUUAUCAUCAGCGAUUUCGACGAUGGAGAUGCAUCAAGUGAUUAUGAAGGCCGCAAAAGGAAGCGAGUGUCUCAGAAUAGGAAUGGCAAUAAGAAGACGAAGCAGGAAGUGGCACCUCAAGAUGAGGCUUCUACUGAUAAGAAACCAGCAGAUGGUCCAGCAGCUUUGAUUCUAUACUUUGGUAGUGCAGAAUCCAUUCCUUCAGUGGAUCGUAUCAACAAUGUGUUCCGUGCUCAUGGAGCGAUCAUCGAGGGUCAGACUGAGAUCACCAAGAAGUCAAAGACUGCAAAAGUAGUCUUCUCUAACCAUGCUGAUGCGGAGCAAGCCUAUAGCACUUCAGGAAAGUACAAUGCUUUUGGUCCAGCACUUCUCACAUAUGAAAUUAAAUACCUGCCAUCUGCUCCUCAAAUUCCUUAG